RNAcentral lists this ribosomal RNA (944 nucleotides) under Sphaerophorus globosus. RNAcentral's name for it is "eukaryotic LSU rRNA". It matches the Rfam family "Eukaryotic large subunit ribosomal RNA", at positions 1 to 961 of the family's 3401-position model. Lineage: Eukaryota; Fungi; Ascomycota; Lecanoromycetes; Lecanorales; Sphaerophoraceae. The record is from RNAcentral.
GAUUGACCUCGGAUCAGGUAGGGAUACCCGCUGAACUUAAGCAUAUCAAUAAGCGGAGGAAAAGAAACCAACAGGGAUUGCCUCAGUAACGGCGAGUGAAGCGGCAACAGCUCAAAUUUGAAAUCUGGCUCCUUCGGGGCCCGAGUUGUAAUUUGUAGAGGACGUUUCGGGUGCGGCCCGGUCUAAGUCCCUUGGAACAGGGCGUCAUAGAGGGUGAGAAUCCCGUAUGUGACCGGUGACCAACCCCAUGUGAAACCCCUUCGACGAGUCGAGUUGUUUGGGAAUGCAGCUCAAAAUGGGUGGUAAAUUCCAUCUAAAGCUAAAUACUGGCCAGAGACCGAUAGCGCACAAGUAGAGUGAUCGAAAGAUGAAAAGCACUUUGGAAAGAGAGUCAAACAGUACGUGAAAUUGUUGAAAGGGAAGCGCUGGCAACCAGACCUGCCCCGGGCGAUCAGCGGGUGUUCUCACCCGUGCACUCGCCCGCGAUCAGGCCAGCAUCGGUUUCGGCGGUCGGAUACAGACCCGGGGAACGUGGCUCUCUUCGGGGAGUGUUAUAGCCCCGGGUGCAAUGCGGCCAGCCGGGACCGAGGACCGCGCUUCGGCUAGGAUGCUGGCGUAAUGGUUGUCAGCGACCCGUCUUGAAACACGGACCAAGGAGUCUAACAUCUAUGCGAGUGUUUGGGUGUCAAACCCAUACGCGGAAUGAAAGUGAACGCAGGUGGGAGCCCCCCCGGGGUGCACCAUCGACCGAUCCUGAUGUCUUCGGAUGGAUUUGAGUAUGAGCAUACAUGUUGGGACCCGAAAGAUGGUGAACUAUACCUGAAUAGGGUGAAGCCAGAGGAAACUCUGGUGGAGGCUCGCAGCGGUUCUGACGUGCAAAUCGAUCGUCAAAUUUGGGUAUAGGGGCGAAAGACUAAUCGAACCAUCUAGUAGCUGGUUCCUGC